This 840-nucleotide ribosomal RNA is filed under the name Xanthoparmelia camtschadalis. RNAcentral describes it as "eukaryotic LSU rRNA". It matches the Rfam family "Eukaryotic large subunit ribosomal RNA", at positions 81 to 936 of the family's 3401-position model. The record is from RNAcentral. Lineage: Eukaryota; Fungi; Ascomycota; Lecanoromycetes; Lecanorales; Parmeliaceae.
CAGUAACGGCGAGUGAAGCGGCAACAGCUCAAAUUUGAAAUCUGGCUCCUUCGGGGUCCGAAUUGUAAUUUGUAGAGAGUGCUUCGGGCGAGACCUCGGUCUAAGUCCAUUGGAACAUGGUGUCAUAGAGGGUGAGAAUCCCGUAUGCGACCGUGGCUCGAGCCCAUGUGAAGCCUCUUCGACGAGUCGAGUUGUUUGGGAAUGCAGCUCAAAAUGGGUGGUAAAUUUCAUCUAAAGCUAAAUACUGGCUGGAGACCGAUAGCGCACAAGUAGAGUGAUCGAAAGAUGAAAAGCACUUUGGAAAGAGAGUCAAACAGUACGUGAAAUUGUUGAAAGGGAAGCGCUUGCAACCAGACCUGCCCGUAGGCGAUCCGCCGCUGUUCUCAGCGGUGUACUCGCUCUGCGAUCAGGCCAGCAUCGGUUUCGGCGGUCGGAUAAAGGCCUUGGGAAUGUAGCUUCCCCUCGGGGGAGUCUUAUAGCCCUCGGUGUAAUGCGGCCAGCUGGGACCGAGGACCGCGCUUCGGCUAGGAUGCUGGCGUAAUGGUUGUAAGCGACCCGUCUUGAAACACGGACCAAGGAGUCUAACAUCUAUGCGAGUGUUUGGGUGUCAAACCCAUACGCGAAAUGAAAGUGAACGGAGGUGAGAACCCUUAAGGGCGCAUCAUCGACCGAUCCAGAUGUCUUCGGAUGGAUUUGAGUAUGAGCAUAGCUGUUGGGACCCGAAAGAUGGUGAACUAUGCCUGAAUAGGGUGAAGCCAGAGGAAACUCUGGUGGAGGCUCGCAGCGGUUCUGACGUGCAAAUCGAUCGUCAAAUUUGGGUAUAGGGGCGAAAGACUAAUC